UCACUGAGCAUGUCUUUGUGAGGAUACGAUUGCUACUGUUCUAACUCAUUUUUUAAAGGUCUGUUUUGUGUUGUUUCAAGCAGAACAGUGCUGCACAACUGCGUGUCUGUCCUCAGUGAGUGUACACUGAAAUAACAACAGGUUUUUUCAAGAUAACCAAUAGCGUUGACUACAUUAUCUAGAGACAGCUGAUUUCCCUCCUAAAGUCGAGACAUGGAAAGAACAGAGAACAAAGUGUCCACCAUCUCCCCGCAAAAACAGACAGUAAAAAAUCGAUCCAAGUCCACAGAGGAGGUACAGCAAGCCAAAAAGGCCUUUCAUACACCACAAAAAUCUCUACCGGCUAAACCAGAAACCGAACAACUAGAGGUAAACAUGAAAUGAUGAAUUAUGGGCUGUUUUAGAGCUUGACUUUGAAAAAAAAAAAUAGAUCAAAGAUUAGACCAAAGACCAGUCAGUGCUGCUUGUGCUGUCAGAGCUGCUUUAUUAUGUGCUUCAUGUUUGUGUUUGAUGUCCUCGAUUACAUUGUGUCUAAUGUGUUAAUAUAUUUUACAGGAAACCUCAGAACUGAGUGCCUCAUCAGAGGAGUUCAAAUGAUUGCUCGAUUCAAACUUCGGGGCUUUGAGAUUUAGACAGAUGAGCUGGAAUUAUGGGUAAUCACAAGAGGAUGAUUCAGUGUCUCUGUUUAUAAAAUUGUGAAGUUUUAAUUAGUUUAGUUAGCAUAGAAGAAAACAAUAAUCAUGUAGCUUCUUGAAUUUGUAUGAGUCUGAUAAUGUUUGUGAAAUAAAUGCACAACUGGAUAUCA
Long non-coding RNA from Cyprinus carpio (common carp), 805 nucleotides. Lineage: Eukaryota; Metazoa; Chordata; Actinopteri; Cypriniformes; Cyprinidae. The record is from Ensembl.